GCUCCGUUGGUGAACCAGCGGAGGGAUCAUUACAGGACUCGCAAGACUCCUUCACCCUGUGAACCUCACUACAAGCACGUUGCUUCGGCGGGUGUCCCGGCGGGGGUUUUCCCUCGCCGGGGCGCACAGCCCGCCGGCAGCCUACUAUACUCUGUCUCUUUGCGUUGGCAUCUCGAGAAAAAACAAACAAAUUAAAACUUUCAACAACGGAUCUCUUGGUUCUG
Molecule: unclassified non-coding RNA, 224 nt
Filed under: plant metagenome
Description: partial contains small subunit ribosomal RNA, internal transcribed spacer 1, and 5.8S ribosomal RNA
Source: RNAcentral